AGAGUUUGAUCCUGGCUCAGAUUGAACGCUGGCGGCAUGCUUUACACAUGCAAGUCGGACGGCAGCACAGAGAAGCUUGCUUCUUGGGUGGCGAGUGGCGAACGGGUGAGUAAUAUAUCGGAACGUACCGAGUAAUGGGGGAUAACUAAUCGAAAGAUUAGCUAAUACCGCAUAUUCUCUGAGGAGGAAAGCAGGGGACCUUCGGGCCUUGCGUUAUUCGAGCGGCCGAUAUCUGAUUAGCUAGUUGGUGGGGUAAAGGCCUACCAAGGCGACGAUCAGUAGCGGGUCUGAGAGGAUGAUCCGCCACACUGGGACUGAGACACGGCCCAGACUCCUACGGGAGGCAGCAGUGGGGAAUUUUGGACAAUGGGCGCAAGCCUGAUCCAGCCAUGCCGCGUGUCUGAAGAAGGCCUUCGGGUUGUAAAGGACUUUUGUCAGGGAAGAAAAGGCUGUUGCUAAUAUCGACAGCUGAUGACGGUACCUGAAGAAUAAGCACCGGCUAACUACGUGCCAGCAGCCGCGGUAAUACGUAGGGUGCGAGCGUUAAUCGGAAUUACUGGGCGUAAAGCGAGCGCAGACGGUUACUUAAGCAGGAUGUGAAAUCCCCGGGCUCAACCUGGGAACUGCGUUCUGAACUGGGUGACUAGAGUGUGUCAGAGGGAGGUAGAAUUCCACGUGUAGCAGUGAAAUGCGUAGAGAUGUGGAGGAAUACCGAUGGCGAAGGCAGCCUCCUGGGAUAACACUGACGUUCAUGCUCGAAAGCGUGGGUAGCAAACAGGAUUAGAUACCCUGGUAGUCCACGCCCUAAACGA
RNAcentral lists this ribosomal RNA (812 nucleotides) under uncultured bacterium. RNAcentral describes it as "bacterial SSU rRNA". It matches the Rfam family "Bacterial small subunit ribosomal RNA", at positions 8 to 809 of the family's 1533-position model. The record is from RNAcentral.